RNAcentral lists this ribosomal RNA (465 nucleotides) under Vreelandella stevensii. RNAcentral describes it as "partial 16S ribosomal RNA". It matches the Rfam family "Bacterial small subunit ribosomal RNA", at positions 338 to 795 of the family's 1533-position model. The record is from RNAcentral. Lineage: Bacteria; Pseudomonadati; Pseudomonadota; Gammaproteobacteria; Oceanospirillales; Halomonadaceae.
CCUACGGGUGGCAGCAGUGGGGAAUAUUGGACAAUGGGCGAAAGCCUGAUCCAGCCAUGCCGCGUGUGUGAAGAAGGCCUUCGGGUUGUAAAGCACUUUCAGUGGGGAAGAAAGCCUUGGGGCUAAUACCCUCGAGGAAGGACAUCACCCACAGAAGAAGCACCGGCUAACUCCGUGCCAGCAGCCGCGGUAAUACGGAGGGUGCGAGCGUUAAUCGGAAUUACUGGGCGUAAAGCGCGCGUAGGCGGUCUGAUAAGCCGGUUGUGAAAGCCCCGGGCUCAACCUGGGAACGGCAUCCGGAACUGUCAGGCUAGAGUGCAGGAGAGGAAGGUAGAAUUCCCGGUGUAGCGGUGAAAUGCGUAGAGAUCGGGAGGAAUACCAGUGGCGAAGGCGGCCUUCUGGACUGACACUGACGCUGAGGUGCGAAAGCGUGGGUAGCAAACAGGAUUUGAUACCCGAGUAGUC